GGGGGUGUAGCUCAGUGGUAGAGUACUUGCCUACCAUGUGCAAGCCCUGGAUUCAAUUCCCAGCACUGUGA
Molecule: transfer RNA, 71 nt
Filed under: Heterocephalus glaber (naked mole-rat)
Lineage: Eukaryota; Metazoa; Chordata; Mammalia; Rodentia; Bathyergidae
Rfam family: tRNA
About the family: Transfer RNA (tRNA) molecules are approximately 80 nucleotides in length. Their secondary structure includes four short double-helical elements and three loops (D, anti-codon, and T loops).
Source: Rfam by way of RNAcentral